This 1633-nucleotide unclassified non-coding RNA is filed under the name Hevea brasiliensis (rubber tree). The record is from RNAcentral. Lineage: Eukaryota; Viridiplantae; Streptophyta; Magnoliopsida; Malpighiales; Euphorbiaceae.
UAAAUUUGAGAUUCAAAUAAUUGUUGUAAUUCUUUCUGAUGAGUUGAGGGUAUAAGAUUAAAUUUAGACUUAUGUUCCAAAAUUGGAAUGACAAAUGCCAAUAUUUCCCUUUCAGGCCAACCGAAUAGCAAGAAAAUAGAAACAAAACGGCAGCCAUUUUCCAGAUGCUUAAAGAGCAAAAGGAUCAAAGAGCUCCCUAUCAUAUAGAGUGAGACUGUUUAAACUUCACGAAUCUGCCGGAACCAAUCCAAUCGAGCACAACACAAGAAAAUUGCAUAUUGUGAAAUGCUGCAGUUCCACAUUCAGAUAUAACUUCACACAUAAGUAACAGGUAAUCCCCGAAUUGCAGCAAAAGAACUGAAUUUCAUUUUAUCAUUGUGCACAUGCCGUGAAUUUCUCUUAUACAGCCUCCAUCAAACAUGAUGCUUCUUUGGAAGAAUGUGGCCAGAAUGGUGAGAGUGCAACGACCUUCCCGAUUACAAUCAGUGUAGGCGAAACUAACUCAGCUGAUGCAAUUUCAUUAGCAAGAUCCUUUAGUUCUGCAAAAACCACACGCUGCUUAGGUGUGGUCCCUCGCUCCACUGCAGCAGCUGGUGUAUUUAAUGGGAGACCAUGAUGCAUCAACUUGGAUGCAAGAGAAGGGAGGGUUGCCAAGCCCAUAUAAACUACCAAGGUUGAAUCAGGGUCAGCUGCAUUUUCUGCUACAAAAAGCGGAUCCGUUCCUCCUUUCCUCGAAUGUCCUGUUAGAAAUCUAACACUAUUCGCAACACCUCGGUGUGUUAAUGGAAUGCCUAACUCUGCUGCAAUCCCUGAAGCAGCAGUGAUACCUGGAAUAACUUUCACUUGAAUUCCUUGCUGUUGGAGAAAAUCCAUCUCCUCUCCACCCCUUCCAAAUACCAGCGGAUCCCCUCCUUUAAGUCUCACAACAGUAGCUCCUGCUUCAGCAAAACUCAAAAGCAGCUCAUGUAUCUCCUCCUGGGUUCUGCUAUGGUAGCCAGCAGUCUUGCCUACAUAAAGCAACCUAGCAUCAGGACCAACCAAAUCCAGAACAUCAUUGGACACCAACCUAUCAUACAACAAAAGAUCAGCUUUUUGUAUUACUCUCACUGCCUUCAAUGUCAACAAUUCCGGAUCCCCUGGGCCUGUACCUACCAAAUACACAUGCCCUGGCCCACACUUCUCUCCAUCUUUACCAAAAGUCUCUCUCUUCUCUUUAAGCACUUGAAGUAGCUUCCUCAGCUCUGGUAGCUGCAAAGCUAUGUCGUUUUGCCUUAUAGACUCUUUGUCAGAUGGGAGAGGGCAUGAAGAAGAAGAAGAAGAAGAUUGGUAAUGGUAAAGAUCUAGCUGAUCCUUAUAAAGCCAGUGGUCUCUUUGGUAUCUCUCAAUUGAAUGUUUCUCAGUGAAAGGUGAGCUUUUGAAAUGUAAAGAGCAUAUGGUUUUUGGGAUUAAGAAGAAAUGCUUGAAAUUUUGUCCAGAUAAAGAAGAAGAAGAAGAAAGCGAUGGCAGCUUAUACACAAGAGCCAUGGUUCAAUAAGAUUGCGAAUUCUGAGUUAAACUACGAGGGAAUAUAUAUACAAAAGGAGAGAAAAAGUUUAGUCCUUUGAGAGUUAAUAGAGACCAUUUUUGCGUUUGU